GGUAGCUUGGCCGAGCGGUCUAAGGCGCUGGUUUAAGGCACCAGUCAUUUCUAUGGCGUGGGUUCGAAUCACACUGCUGCCA
Ciona savignyi (Pacific transparent sea squirt) is the source of this 82-nucleotide non-coding RNA. NCBI's taxonomy places the organism in Eukaryota, Metazoa, Chordata, Ascidiacea, Phlebobranchia, Cionidae. The record is from Rfam.